ACCUGGCUGGCUUAUUUGGUGGAGCAUGGGACUCCUGAUCCCGGGGUUGUGGGUUUAAGUUCCAUAUUGGGUG
RNAcentral lists this transfer RNA (73 nucleotides) under Felis catus (domestic cat). It matches the Rfam family "tRNA". Rfam says of the family: Transfer RNA (tRNA) molecules are approximately 80 nucleotides in length. Their secondary structure includes four short double-helical elements and three loops (D, anti-codon, and T loops). Lineage: Eukaryota; Metazoa; Chordata; Mammalia; Carnivora; Felidae. RNAcentral also lists the same sequence under 1 other name. The record is from Rfam by way of RNAcentral.